UACAGAGGUCUCAAGCGUUGUUCGGAAUCAUUGGGCGUAAAGCGCACGUAGGUGGCUUUGCAAGUCAGGUGUGAAAGCCUGGGGCUUAACCCCAGAAGUGCACUUGAAACUGCUUAGCUUGAGUACGGGAGAGGUGAGUGGAAUUCCUGGUGUAGUGGUGAAAUACGUAGAUAUCAGGAGGAACAUCGGUGGCGAAGGCGGCUCACUGGCCCAGUACUGACACUGAGGUGCGAAAGCAUGGGGAUCAAACAGG
RNAcentral lists this ribosomal RNA (253 nucleotides) under uncultured bacterium. RNAcentral describes it as "partial 16S ribosomal RNA". It matches the Rfam family "Bacterial small subunit ribosomal RNA", at positions 524 to 776 of the family's 1533-position model. The record is from RNAcentral.